UAAAGAUUCAUCGCUGAUAGAUAGGCAUGCGUUCCAUUAGGCAGUCGGCGGGGUAACGGCCCACCAAACCGACGAUGGAUAGGGGUUCUGAGAGGAAGGUCCCCCACAUUGGUACUGAGACACGGACCAAACUCCUACGGGAGGCAGCAGUGAGGAAUAUUGGUCAAUGGGCGUAAGCCUGAACCAGCCAAGUCGCGUGAGGGAUGAAGGUUCUAUGGAUCGUAAACCUCUUUUAUAAGGGAAUAAAGUGUGGGACGUGUCCUAUUUUGUAUGUACCUUAUGAAUAAGGAUCGGCUAACUCCGUGCCAGCAGCCGCGGUAAUACGGAGGAUCCGAGCGUUAUCCGGAUUUAUUGGGUUUAAAGGGUGCGUAGGCGGCCUUUUAAGUCAGCGGUGAAAGUCUGUGGCUCAACCAUAGAAUUGCCGUUGAAACUGGGAGGCUUGAGUAUGUUUGAGGCAGGCGGAAUGCGUGGUGUAGCGGUGAAAUGCUUAGAUAUCACGCAGAACCCCGAUUGCGAAGGCAGCCUGCCAAGCCAUGACUGACGCUGAUGCACGAAAGCGUGGGGAUCAAACAGGAUUAGAUACCCUGGUAGUCCACGCAGUAAACGAUGAUCACUAGCUGUUUGCGAUACACAGUAA
Molecule: ribosomal RNA, 637 nt
Filed under: uncultured bacterium
Lineage: Bacteria
Description: bacterial SSU rRNA
Rfam family: Bacterial small subunit ribosomal RNA
Source: RNAcentral